Molecule: long non-coding RNA, 312 nt
Filed under: Mustela putorius furo (domestic ferret)
Lineage: Eukaryota; Metazoa; Chordata; Mammalia; Carnivora; Mustelidae
Description: lncRNA (ENSMPUG00000024967.1)
Source: RNAcentral
GGGCAAUCUCGAGGCGGAUAGGAAGCUGAAUGACAGAGAGUGAAGUAACCUGUUCAAGGUUCUCACUCAGCUAGGACGGAGCAGACGUGGGGUGUGAGCGUAGGCAAAUGGACUGUGGAACCACGAUUUUCAACUCCGUGUUACCUGCAGGGCCCUGUUUCUCCAGAAGCAGCCUGUCCAGUCAAGAUUAAAGCUGAGCACCUCCCCUUGGUCGUGCGCCCCAACGUCUCUUCUCAUUGAAGUAAAUCAGCAUUACUGUUGAAUGAAGCGUACUCGUCUUUAAAAGCGGAAACUCCUGGUAUGUACAUGAUG